AAGCUGAUGGGAAACGUGUUAAUAUUCACGUACUUGUGUGUUCGCGCGAUGAAGGGACGCAGGAAGAUAGGCAAGCCGGGCGCUGGUUGUCCCGGUGCAAGCGUGUAGGGAUGAGGAGUUGGCAAAUCCGCUUCUCUCUAUCCUGAGACGCGAGUCCGUGCCCGCAAGGGCUGAAGUUGUCGAGUCUAUGCUGCCUAGAAAAGCUUCUAAGUAUAGGACACGCAAACCGUACCGGAAACCAACUCAGGUGGGUGGGAUGAAUAAUCCAAGGCGCUCGAGAGAACUCUGGCCAAGGAACUCGGCAAAAUAACCCCGUACCUUCGGAAGAAGGGGUGCUUUUUAGGGUGAAACGAUUCACUCUGUCGAGCCCUGAAAAGCCGCAGAGAAAUGGUGGUGGCGACUGUUUACUAAAAACAUAGGUCUGUGCCAAGUCGUAUAGACGACGUAUACGGACUGACGCCUGCCCGGUGCUGGAAGGUUAAAAGGAGGAGUCAGCGCAAGCGAAGCUCCGAAUUGAAGCCCCAGUAAACGGCGGCCGUAACUAUAACGGUCCUAAGGUAGCGAAAUUCCUUGUCGGGUAAGUUCCGACCUGCACGAAUGGCGUAACGAUCUCCACACUGUCUCGGCCAGAGACUCGGUGAAAUUGAAGUCGCGGUGAAAAUGCCGUGUACCCGCAGAAAGACGGAAAGACCCUGUGCACCUUUACUAUAGCUUGACAUUGGGAUUUGAGCCUGCAUGUGUAGCAUAGGUGGGAGCCUGAGAACCCUGUACGCCAGUAUGGGGGGAGGCAACGUUGAAAUACCACCCUUGUUUGUUCAGGUCCCUAACUCUUCGCCGUUACCCGGUAAGAGGACAGUGUCUGGUGGGUAGUUUGACUGGGGCGGUCGCCUCCCAAAAUGUAACGGAGGCAUGCAAAGGUUCCCUCAGGCUGAUUGGAAACCAGCCGUCGAGUGCAAACGCAGAAGGGAGCUUGACUGCAAGAGAGACAUCUCGAGCAGGUACGAAAGUAGGUGUUAGUGAUCCGGUGAUCCCGAAUGGAAGGGUCAUCGCUCAUUGGAUAAAAGGUACGCCGGGGAUAACAGGCUGAUCGCAUCCAAGAGUUCACAUCGACGAUGCGGUUUGGCACCUCGAUGUCGGCUCAUCACAUC
This 1148-nucleotide ribosomal RNA is filed under the name Alistipes ihumii AP11. Its description in RNAcentral is "bacterial LSU rRNA". It matches the Rfam family "Bacterial large subunit ribosomal RNA", at positions 1412 to 2546 of the family's 2925-position model. The record is from RNAcentral. Lineage: Bacteria; Pseudomonadati; Bacteroidota; Bacteroidia; Bacteroidales; Rikenellaceae.